RNAcentral lists this ribosomal RNA (301 nucleotides) under uncultured bacterium. RNAcentral describes it as "partial 16S ribosomal RNA". It matches the Rfam family "Bacterial small subunit ribosomal RNA", at positions 509 to 807 of the family's 1533-position model. The record is from RNAcentral.
CAGUCGCCGCGGUAAAACGAAGGGGGCUAGCGUUGUUCGGAUUUACUGGGCGUAAAGCGCACGUAGGCGGACUUUUAAGUCAGGGGUGAAAUCCCGGGGCUCAACCCCGGAACUGCCUUUGAUACUGGAAGUCUUGAGUAUGGUAGAGGUGAGUGGAAUUCCGAGUGUAGAGGUGAAAUUCGUAGAUAUUCGGAGGAACACCAGUGGCGAAGGCGGCUCACUGGACCAUUACUGACGCUGAGGUGCGAAAGCGUGGGGAGCAAACAGGAUUAGAUACCCCUGUAGUCCCUGUCUCUUAUAC